Molecule: non-coding RNA, 85 nt
Filed under: unclassified sequences
Description: L4-Archaeoglobi ribosomal protein leader
Rfam family: L4-Archaeoglobi ribosomal protein leades
Source: RNAcentral
CUGACCGGUACGCAUGGGUCGACGUUUGAACAAACGAGCCCAUUCCACAUGCUCUAAAAAGUGCACGUGGAUGCGUUAUUGUCAG